Molecule: ribosomal RNA, 664 nt
Filed under: Vibrio alginolyticus
Lineage: Bacteria; Pseudomonadati; Pseudomonadota; Gammaproteobacteria; Vibrionales; Vibrionaceae
Description: bacterial SSU rRNA
Rfam family: Bacterial small subunit ribosomal RNA
Source: RNAcentral
GCAGUCGAGCGGAACGAGUUAUCUGAACCUUCGGGGAACGAUAACGGCGUCGAGCGGCGGACGGGUGAGUAAUGCCUAGGAAAUUGCCCUGAUGUGGGGGAUAACCAUUGGAAACGAUGGCUAAUACCGCAUGAUGCCUACGGGCCAAAGAGGGGGACCUUCGGGCCUCUCGCGUCAGGAUAUGCCUAGGUGGGAUUAGCUAGUUGGUGAGGUAAGGGCUCACCAAGGCGACGAUCCCUAGCUGGUCUGAGAGGAUGAUCAGCCACACUGGAACUGAGACACGGUCCAGACUCCUACGGGAGGCAGCAGUGGGGAAUAUUGCACAAUGGGCGCAAGCCUGAUGCAGCCAUGCCGCGUGUGUGAAGAAGGCCUUCGGGUUGUAAAGCACUUUCAGUCGUGAGGAAGGUGGUGUAGUUAAUAGCUGCAUUAUUUGACGUUAGCGACAGAAGAAGCACCGGCUAACUCCGUGCCAGCAGCCGCGGUAAUACGGAGGGUGCGAGCGUUAAUCGGAAUUACUGGGCGUAAAGCGCAUGCAGGUGGUUUGUUAAGUCAGAUGUGAAAGCCCGGGGCUCAACCUCGGAAUAGCAUUUGAAACUGGCAGACUAGAGUACUGUAGAGGGGGGGUAGAAUUUCAGGUGUAGCGGUGAAAUGCGUAGAGAUCUGA